CCCGCAGCGAAAAGCUAUAAAGCCGCGAC
This 29-nucleotide small RNA is filed under the name Bombyx mori (domestic silkworm). Its description in RNAcentral is "ovarian small RNA-13685". The record is from RNAcentral. Lineage: Eukaryota; Metazoa; Arthropoda; Insecta; Lepidoptera; Bombycidae.